Molecule: ribosomal RNA, 448 nt
Filed under: uncultured bacterium
Lineage: Bacteria
Description: bacterial SSU rRNA
Rfam family: Bacterial small subunit ribosomal RNA
Source: RNAcentral
UACGGAAGGCAGCAGUAGGGGAAUCUUCCGCAAUGGACGAAAGUCUGACGGAGCAACGCCGCGUGAACGAUGAAGGCUUUCGGGUCGUAAAGUUCUGUUGUUAGGGAAGAACAAGUACCGGAGUAACUGCCGGUACCUUGACGGUACCUAACCAGAAAAGCCACGGCUAACUACGUGCCAGCAGCCGCGGUAAUACGUAGGUGGCAAGCGUUGUCCGGAAUUAUUGGGCGUAAAGCGCGCGCAGGCGGUCCUUUUAAGUCUGAUGUGAAAGCCCACGGCUCAACCGUGGAGGGUCAUUGGGAAACUGGGGGACUUGAGUGCAGAAGAGGAGAGUGGAAUUCACGGUGUAGCGGUGAAAUGCGUAGAGAUGUGGAGGAACACCAGUGGCGAAGGCGACUCUCUGGUCUGUAACUGACGCUGAGGCGCGAAAGCGUGGGGAGCGAACGAG